This 253-nucleotide ribosomal RNA is filed under the name uncultured bacterium. Its description in RNAcentral is "partial 16S ribosomal RNA". It matches the Rfam family "Bacterial small subunit ribosomal RNA", at positions 524 to 776 of the family's 1533-position model. The record is from RNAcentral.
UACGUAGGGGGCGAGCGUUGUCCGGAAUUAUUGGGCGUAAAGAGCGUGUAGGCGGUUCGGUAAGUCUGCCGUGAAAACCUGGGGCUCAACCCCAGGCGUGCGGUGGAUACUGCCGGGCUAGAGGGUGGUAGAGGCGAGUGGAAUUCCCGGUGUAGCGGUGAAAUGCGCAGAUAUCGGGAGGAACACCAGUAGCGAAGGCGGCUUUCUGGCCUGUUCUUGACGCUGAGGCGCGAAAGCUAGGGGAGCGAACGGG